Molecule: non-coding RNA, 107 nt
Filed under: Gorillibacterium timonense
Lineage: Bacteria; Bacillati; Bacillota; Bacilli; Caryophanales; Paenibacillaceae
Description: epsC RNA
Rfam family: epsC RNA
Source: RNAcentral
GGCGAUGUCUCCUUGCCGGUAUCGAUGGAGGCACUCGGUCAUGCUGUGGGUCAUGGGCCUUAGACGCGGGUCGUCGAGGGUGUGGCGUGAGGCGGGGUUGGAUGCCC